CGGACGGGUGAGUAACACGUGGAUAACCUACCUAUAAGACUGGGAUAACUUCGGGAAACCGGAGCUAAUACCGGAUAAUAUAUUGAACCGCAUGGUUCAAUAGUGAAAGACGGUUUUGCUGUCACUUAUAGAUGGAUCCGCGCCGCAUUAGCUAGUUGGUAAGGUAACGGCUUACCAAGGCAGCGAUGCGUAGCCGACCUGAGAGGGUGAUCGGCCACACUGGAACUGAGACACGGUCCAG
RNAcentral lists this ribosomal RNA (241 nucleotides) under uncultured Staphylococcus sp. RNAcentral's name for it is "partial 16S ribosomal RNA". It matches the Rfam family "Bacterial small subunit ribosomal RNA", at positions 99 to 334 of the family's 1533-position model. Lineage: Bacteria; Bacillati; Bacillota; Bacilli; Caryophanales; Staphylococcaceae. The record is from RNAcentral.